GACGAACGCUGGCGGCGUGCCUAAUACAUGCAAGUCGAGCGGACUGAUUAAGAGCUUGCUCUUAUGACGUUAGCGGCGGACGGGUGAGUAACACGUGGGCAACCUGCCCUGUAGAUCGGGAUAACACCGAGAAAUCGGUGCUAAUACCGGGUAAUAUCUGAGAUCACAUGAUCUUAGGUUAAAAGAUGGCUCCGGCUAUCACUACAGGAUGGGCCCGCGGCGCAUUAGCUAGUUGGUAAGGUAAUGGCUUACCAAGGCGACGAUGCGUAGCCGACCUGAGAGGGUGAUCGGCCACACUGGGACUGAGACACGGCCCAGACUCCUACGGGAGGCAGCAGUAGGGAAUCUUCCGCAAUGGACGAAAGUCUGACGGAGCAACGCCGCGUGAGCGAUGAAGGGUUUCGGCUCGUAAAGCUCUGUUGUUAGGGAAGAAACAGUACCGAACGAACUAGGUCGGUACCUUGACGGUACCUAACCAGAAAGCCACGGCUAACUACGUG
This 500-nucleotide ribosomal RNA is filed under the name uncultured bacterium. RNAcentral's name for it is "partial 16S ribosomal RNA". It matches the Rfam family "Bacterial small subunit ribosomal RNA", at positions 28 to 507 of the family's 1533-position model. The record is from RNAcentral.